RNAcentral lists this transfer RNA (77 nucleotides) under Xylanimonas oleitrophica. Its description in RNAcentral is "Isoptericola sp. PW21 tRNA-Leu". It matches the Rfam family "tRNA". Rfam says of the family: Transfer RNA (tRNA) molecules are approximately 80 nucleotides in length. Their secondary structure includes four short double-helical elements and three loops (D, anti-codon, and T loops). The record is from RNAcentral. Lineage: Bacteria; Bacillati; Actinomycetota; Actinomycetes; Micrococcales; Promicromonosporaceae.
GCCCCGGUAGCCCAACUGGCAGAGGCAUCCGACUCAAACUCGGAGUGUUGCGGGUUCGACUCCCGCCCGGGGUACCC